RNAcentral lists this ribosomal RNA (914 nucleotides) under uncultured archaeon. RNAcentral's name for it is "bacterial SSU rRNA". It matches the Rfam family "Archaeal small subunit ribosomal RNA", at positions 1 to 922 of the family's 1478-position model. The record is from RNAcentral.
UUUCCGGUUGAUCCUGCCGGAGGGCCACUGCUAUCGAGGUUCGAUUAAGCCAUGCGAGUCGAGAGGUGCAAGACCUCGGCAUACUGCUCAGUAACACGUGGACAACCUACCCUAUGGAGGGGGAUAACCCCGGGAAACUGGGGAUAAUACCCCAUAGACUAUGGAUGCUGGAAUGCCCUGUAGUCGAAAGGUCUGCCGCCAUAGGAUGGGUCUGCGGCCGAUUAGGUUGUUGUUGGGGUAACGGCCCAACAAGCCUGUAAUCGGUACGGGUUGUGGGAGCAAGAGCCCGGAGAUGGAUUCUGAGACACGAAUCCAGGCCCUACGGGGCGCAGCAGGCGCGAAAACUUUACAAUGCGGGAAACCGUGAUAAGGGAACUCCGAGUGCCCGUAAAAUCGGGCUGUCCAUCAGUUUAAAUAACUGGUGAAGAAAGGGCCGGGCAAGACCGGUGCCAGCCGCCGCGGUAAUACCGGCGGCUCGAGUGGUGGCCACUAUUACUGGGCUUAAAGCGUUCGUAGCUGGUUUGUUAAGUCUCUGGGGAAAUCUGCCGGCUUAACCGGCAGGCGUUUCAGGGAUACUGGCAGACUAGGGACCGGGAGAGGUGAGAGGUACUCCAGGGGUAGGAGUGAAAUCCUGUAAUCCUUGGGGGACCACCUGUGGCGAAGGCGUCUCACCAGAACGGCUCCGACAGUGAGGGACGAAAGCUGGGGGAGCAAACCGGAUUAGAUACCCGGGUAGUCCCAGCUGUAAACGAUGCGCGUUAGGUGUAUCGGUGACCACGAGUCACCGAGGUGCCGAAGAGAAAUCGUGAAACGUGCCGCCUGGGAAGUACGGUCGCAAGGCUGAAACUUAAAGGAAUUGGCGGGGGAGCACCACAACAGGUGGAGCCUGCGGUUUAAUUGGAUUCAACGCCGGA